UGGAGAGACUGCGGCCAGGGUAGCUCAUCUCCCUCCCAGCCACAAAGGAUUUCUUCCCCAGGGCAGUAUUUCCCAGUUAGGCUUCCCUGUCGUCAUCACCUCCUUCUUGACUGAACUUUUCAAGAUUUCAGCAAAGUUACCCUGCUGCUAAGUCACUAGCAAAGUUUGGACCCCACACCAAGAUGAUCAUCUUAGAAAUGUACUAAA
Molecule: long non-coding RNA, 207 nt
Organism: Loxodonta africana (African savanna elephant)
Lineage: Eukaryota; Metazoa; Chordata; Mammalia; Proboscidea; Elephantidae
Rfam family: DAOA antisense RNA 1 conserved region 2
Source: Rfam